Capsicum annuum is the source of this 2867-nucleotide long non-coding RNA. RefSeq lists it as uncharacterized. The record is from RefSeq and is a predicted model, not a curated record. The transcript is spliced from 2 exons. NCBI's taxonomy places the organism in Eukaryota, Viridiplantae, Streptophyta, Magnoliopsida, Solanales, Solanaceae.
AACAACAUACAACUUCAACCAGCCAAUACCCGACCCGAUUUCGUCCAAAUUCGAUCCGACAAAGAUCUGAAGUAGCUUGUUCUCACCUAAACGUCUUCCUCUCUACUUGAAUCCAUACUUCCUCACGUGAUUAGCAUGGUGAUUAACACGAAGUCGGUCUUAAAUCUUCUAGAAAUGAGGUUAGGUGUCACCUCCAACGUCCGAAUUUCAUGAAUUUCGGGAUAACUUGUACGAAUUAGUACCUAUUUGUCAAAUUUUUGUUGGUUCUUGGGGAAAUUAUCCAUUUUCCCCAAUGGUUAUUGUCCAAAUCCAAAUGGGGGUACAAUCGGUUAUGACCAUCAUUAUUUGAAUUUCAAAUUCCCCUAAAAAAGAAUCCCGAAAAGAUCCCCCAAUGGUCCUCUAUAUAAACGACCCAUUGUGUGCUUCUAAAGGGGAAUUUUUUUUUUUGGAGAGAUUUGAGGUCGAAACGGAGGGUUUGGAAAAGUGGGAUUUUUCCUUCUUUUGGGGGUUCGAAAAUUAUCUGAGAAAACUGAGGGGAAAAAUCUGCUGAGAGGUUGGUUCGAAAUUCUGGGCUGAGAAUUUUGGUUCUAAAAAACGAGAGCUCUUGGGGAGAAUUCAAUCUUUUAGUGAAGAUGUUUUUCGGUGGUGGUGAUCCUGACGGCAGUUCGUUGUUCUAUUUUGCUGCCCCGAAGGAGGUAAAAUUCUCGAUGCCUUAUUUCUUUUCUCUUCAUUUUGCCUCAUUUUCGCUUUUGAAGUAGUAAAAAUUUAUUUCUCUUAUUCUUUCCGGGAGUUAGCUGCAGAAACCUUGCAAGGUUGUAGGUUUUUCUUGAGGUGGUUGAACCAAAUUCAUGUUAAAAUUUGUGUUCUACUGAUAGUUUUAUUGUUUAGAUUUAUAUGUCUUGGGUCCACUGUCUCAUAUUGUUGAUGUUGGAUCACUAUAAUUUUAUUUUGAUAGAAAUCGACAUCUGCUAGGAUUAAUUCAUGUGUUUGUUUGGGUCAUUGUUACAGCCUGUAUUUGGAUCACCUUGAUUUAGGUCUAUUAGAUCAGAAUAAAGUGAUUUUGCAUUGAUUUGUUAGCUUGCUGAUUCAGGUUUAAGGAUUGCAUCGUUUUAAUUGUUAUUCUUCUAAAUGUUCUUUCCCUGAUACCUCUUUUGGUUUAAUGUUUUGGUUUAAGGCAUCUUGUUUCCAUUAUCUUAACUUCUAAAUGCUUAAUCUAUUGACUAUUUGUUUCAAGCGUUAGUCUGUCCAAUUGGUUUAAUUGCGUGUUUGUAGAUUAUAAUAGUUUCUCGUAGAAUCCUGCUGAUUCUAGAUUAGAUAAUUAAGUUGUCUCUCUUGUUAGAUUAACUUUGAGUUCAAUGAGAAUGAGAGUUGAAAGAGUCGAACUCUAGUGAAAAUCCUUGAAUAUCCUAACUCAGUUUCCCCAGGCUGCUCCUCACUCCAAGCUUUCCUAUCGCUCAUUGAAUUUUCUUUGCUAAAGUUAAAUAAAUCCUUUCGAGGUCAUUUUCUAGUGUAAGCUCGCAUUAAGUGCAUGUCUUUUCUUUGCUCAACUGUGUAUUAGUCCGCCCAAGAAGCAUAUUGAAGUUUUGUUUUAGCAUUAAACUCCCUUUUGAUUUUCUGUAUAUGUUAUUUUUGAAGGAUUGAUUCAAUAUCCUCUCUUCUUUUCCUUGUGAAAAUUUGUUGAACUCUUUCAUAAAAAUACUCAAACUUUUCGAUCGCGACAAGUUGUGAUUGUUGAUUUCAUUUUUAUCUCCCUUGAUCUUUUUUUUUUAGUUCAAGACGCUUGUCUUUGAUAAGAUCGGACGAUGUAUAUAGCCCUAUAUCUUUUUUUGACUCUUAUGAGUUUUGCCUAGAUAUUUGCCCUUAUCCUUUAAUUGGUCUCAUCGAUUUUUAGUUCAUUAUAUCUUUGGUAUGCUUAAAUGAUUAAUCUAGGUUUGUUAGGAGAAUGUUGUUUUGCCUUUGCGUUCCUUUAAAAAUGAUUUCUUUUGUUUUAUUUUUGGGAAGUAUUUUAUUAGCUGAAACGUACAGUCCUUUUUUUAAUUUGCAUAUGAUCUAUCUUUGCUGAAUUGAUCUAAAACAUGUUUUCCCAUUCCCCAUUGGCUCUUGAUGACUAAUUAGGAUUGUACUAUGUUGUUUCCUUUAGUUAAUCACGUGUCAGUUUUUCUUUCUCUCUUUGUUGAUCAUGUCUUAAUUACCUUUAGUUUUCCUCCUUGAUUGAUAGCAUAUUAGCUUCCUUUACUUUUUUACUUUCUUUCUUUCUUUCUUGGUUCGAUCAGGUACUAAUAUGCUUUAUUUUUUAUUUUAUUUAUUUAUUUAUUUUUUGCCGCCUUUGCAUGGAAAUCAUUUGGAUCCUAAAUGGACUUUCCCCAUUCUUUGCAUUAUUGAUAUGGACCACUGAGGCCUAUCCUUCCUCAGUCGAUUUCGAAAAUCAUAAGGAGACAACCUCAUAGUGCAUGAAUACGAGGAGAUCAAAGAAGACAAAUGGGUCCAAGUCCUACUGUUGAAGCGGUCAAGAGACUUGAAAGUAUCUUCUUCGCACGAGAUAUAUUUUAAUGUUGUGAAAUUAUAUUAUGCUUCGAGGAAAGAAGAUGAGAAGGCUGAAAGUGAUGAUGAAGCACCAAUGAGGCCUCCUAGGGAUAUUGAGCUAAUAGAAGAUACUGAAGUGCAUGAUAUUUGAAGUUUAUUUGUAUUUAUUGUAUUUGACAAUAUUGAACUUUAGGAGGACUAAGAUAUAGUUGAAAGAUGACAUCUUAAUAUUUUUUUUAUGUGAUUGUUAGAUUUUUUAUCGUUAUGAUUCUAAAAUAGAAUUGUUCGAUCUUACUUUAUGUUAUUGUUACGCAUAUUUUGGUAUGAAUAUGUGAUUUUCAGUU